RNAcentral lists this ribosomal RNA (312 nucleotides) under Triticum aestivum (bread wheat). RNAcentral describes it as "partial small subunit ribosomal RNA". The record is from RNAcentral. Lineage: Eukaryota; Viridiplantae; Streptophyta; Magnoliopsida; Poales; Poaceae.
AUGUGUCCAGUAAAUAAAGAAAGUCAAAGGUAUACUUUCUUCCUCCUGCCGUUUCUUCCCUCAUCUCCCAAAAAUGGACAUCUUCAGCCAUGGCAAAGAUUGAUUCAGGAAUCCGCCGGGGUGUGUCGCCCAGUCGCCGUUAGUUCCAAUCCCACGCGCGGCGCCGACUGCCCUCCCUCUCCCCACUCGCCGUUCCCACAAAAUGAAACCCUCGAUCCAACCACUGGUCAUACAUUCUGUUCCCAGUCCUUCAAUUUCUCAGCGAUAAAUCUUACAAAGCAACCACUAUGGGAUACAUCAGAUGUGCAAUGA